GCCUCUAUAGUUUAAUUGGCAAAAUAAGGGAUUUGUAACCCCUAGUCGCCCGAUCGUAACGGGCUAGAGGCUCCA
Molecule: transfer RNA, 75 nt
Filed under: Caudoviricetes sp.
Lineage: Duplodnaviria; Heunggongvirae; Uroviricota; Caudoviricetes
Description: tRNA-Thr
Rfam family: tRNA
About the family: Transfer RNA (tRNA) molecules are approximately 80 nucleotides in length.
Source: RNAcentral